CCUACGGGGGGCAGCAGUGGGGAAUAUUGCACAAUGGGGGAAACCCUGAUGCAGCGACGCCGCGUGAGUGAAGAAGUAUCUCGGUACGUAAAGCUCUAUCAGCAGGGAAGUUAAUGACGGUACCUGACCAAGAAGCCCCGGCUAACUACGUGCCAGCAGCCGCGGUAAUACGUCGGGGGCAAGAGUUAUCCGGAUUUUCGGGGGUUUAAGGGAGCGUAGACGGCUGCACAAGUCUGUAGUGAAAUUGUGAGGCUUAACCGUAGAACUGCUUUGGAGACUGUGAGGCUGGAGUGCAGGUGGGGUAGGCGGAAUGCGUGGUGGAGCGGUGAUAUGCUUAGAGAUCACGAAGAACUCCGAUGGCGAAGGCAGCUUACUAAACUGCCACGGACAUUGAUGCUCGAAAGUGUGGGUAUCAAAAAGGAUUAGAUACCCUUGUAGGC
Molecule: ribosomal RNA, 440 nt
Filed under: uncultured bacterium
Lineage: Bacteria
Description: partial 16S ribosomal RNA
Rfam family: Bacterial small subunit ribosomal RNA
Source: RNAcentral